Molecule: small RNA, 126 nt
Filed under: Rhizobium sp. RU36D
Lineage: Bacteria; Pseudomonadati; Pseudomonadota; Alphaproteobacteria; Hyphomicrobiales; Rhizobiaceae
Description: Alphaproteobacterial ar14
Rfam family: Alphaproteobacterial ar14
About the family: Smr14C2 was renamed NfeR1 (Nodule Formation Efficiency RNA) highly expressed in salt stress and during the symbiotic interaction on legume roots.
Source: Rfam by way of RNAcentral
AAUCAUCGAAGCGACGCACUCCUCCUCCCAGUGUCGUUUCGAGAGGAUCGGCAAUACUCCUCCUCCUCCCAAUUGCCGAUCGAGUUUAAGAGCCUGGCGCACCUCCUCCCGCGCCGGGCUCUUUUC